UUGCUUUCUUUGCUGGCGACCGGCGCACGGGUGAGUAACACGUAUCCAACCUGCCCUUUACUCGGGGAUAGCCUUUCGAAAGAAAGAUUAAUACCCGAUAGUAUAAUGAUUCCGCAUGGUUUUAUUAUUAAAGGAUUCCGGUAAAGGAUGGGGAUGCGUUCCAUUAGGUUGUUGGUGAGGUAACGGCUCACCAAGCCUUCGAUGGAUAGGGGUUCUGAGAGGAAGGUCCCCCACAUUGGAACUGAGACACGGUCCAA
RNAcentral lists this ribosomal RNA (257 nucleotides) under uncultured bacterium. RNAcentral describes it as "partial 16S ribosomal RNA". It matches the Rfam family "Bacterial small subunit ribosomal RNA", at positions 76 to 334 of the family's 1533-position model. The record is from RNAcentral.